UGCAGAGAGUGCGAGCGUUAAUCGGAAUUAUUGGGCGUAAAGCGUACGUAGGUUGAUGCUUAAGUCAGAUGUGAAAGCCCCGAGCUUAACUUGGGAAUUGCAUUUGAUACUGGGCGUCUAGAGUAUAGUAGAGGGAAGUGGAAUUUCUGGUGUAGCGGUGAAAUGCGUAGAUAUCAGAAGGAACAUCAGUGGCGAAAGCGGCUUCCUGGACUAAUACUGACACUUAGGUACGAAAGCGUGGGGAGCAAACAGG
This 253-nucleotide ribosomal RNA is filed under the name uncultured bacterium. RNAcentral describes it as "partial 16S ribosomal RNA". It matches the Rfam family "Bacterial small subunit ribosomal RNA", at positions 524 to 776 of the family's 1533-position model. The record is from RNAcentral.